This 159-nucleotide ribosomal RNA is filed under the name Fusarium oxysporum. Its description in RNAcentral is "5.8S ribosomal RNA". It matches the Rfam family "5.8S ribosomal RNA". Rfam says of the family: 5.8S ribosomal RNA (5.8S rRNA) is a component of the large subunit of the eukaryotic ribosome. RNAcentral also lists the same sequence under 36 other names. Lineage: Eukaryota; Fungi; Ascomycota; Sordariomycetes; Hypocreales; Nectriaceae. The record is from RNAcentral.
AAAACUUUCAACAACGGAUCUCUUGGUUCUGGCAUCGAUGAAGAACGCAGCAAAAUGCGAUAAGUAAUGUGAAUUGCAGAAUUCAGUGAAUCAUCGAAUCUUUGAACGCACAUUGCGCCCGCCAGUAUUCUGGCGGGCAUGCCUGUUCGAGCGUCAUUU